GAGUUUGAUCUUGGCUCAGAUUGAACGCUGGCGGCAUGCCUUACACAUGCAAGUCGAACGGCAGCACGGGAGCUUGCUCCUGGUGGCGAGUGGCGAACGGGUGAGUAAUGCAUCGGAACGUAUCCUGGAGUGGGGGAUAACGUAGCGAAAGUUACGCUAAUACCGCAUAUUCUGUGAGCAGGAAAGCGGGGGACCUUCGGGCCUCGCGCUCUUGGAGCGGCCGAUGUCGGAUUAGCUAGUUGGUGAGGUAAAGGCUCACCAAGGCGACGAUCCGUAGCAGGUCUGAGAGGAUGAUCUGCCACACCGGAACUGAGACACGGUCCAGACUCCUACGGGAGGCAGCAGUGGGGAAUUUUGGACAAUGGGGGCAACCCUGAUCCAGCCAUGCCGCGUGAGUGAAGAAGGCCUCGGUUGUAA
Molecule: ribosomal RNA, 417 nt
Filed under: bacterium enrichment culture clone ALO1_GLFRUDD03FP5UJ
Lineage: Bacteria
Description: bacterial SSU rRNA
Rfam family: Bacterial small subunit ribosomal RNA
Source: RNAcentral